This 466-nucleotide ribosomal RNA is filed under the name uncultured bacterium. RNAcentral describes it as "bacterial SSU rRNA". It matches the Rfam family "Bacterial small subunit ribosomal RNA", at positions 329 to 793 of the family's 1533-position model. The record is from RNAcentral.
GGCCAGACUCCUACGGGAGGCAGCAGUGAGGAAUAUUGGUCAAUGGUCGGGAGACUGAACCAGCCAAGCUGCGUGAGGGAUGAAGGUACAGAGUAUCGUAAACCUCUUUUGUCAGGGAACAAAGGCGGGGACGCGUCCCCGGAUGAGUGUGCCUGAAGAAAAAGCAUCGGCUAACUCCGUGCCAGCAGCCGCGGUAAUACGGAGGAUGCGAGCGUUAUCCGGAUUUAUUGGGUUUAAAGGGUGCGUAGGCGGACUGUAAAGUCGGGGGUAAAAGCCCGGGGCUCACCCCCGGCGAGCCGUUGAAACUGGCUGUCUUGAGAUGUCGAGAGGUAUGCGGAAUGCGCAGUGUAGCGGUGAAAUGCUUAGAUAUCGCGCAGAACUCCGAUUGCGAAGGCAGCAUGCCGGCUCCACACUGACGCUGAGGCACGAAAGCGUGGGUAUCGAACAGGAUUAGAUACCCGUGUAC